RNAcentral lists this long non-coding RNA (480 nucleotides) under Toxoplasma gondii VEG. The record is from RNAcentral. Lineage: Eukaryota; Apicomplexa; Conoidasida; Eucoccidiorida; Sarcocystidae.
UUUGCAGGGAAAUUGGCGGACAGUAACAUUCAGGGAGUGUGCAUGGUUACACUUAAAAAGCAGAUAUUGUCUCUCGUCAGCUUCGGGUGGACUAGACUCGGACCUCCCACGGCAGCUAGAACAACUCAGACAAACACGGGGCAUGUCUUGAAAGGGUAUCCUUCGUUCCGUUCUACAGCGAGACGCGUGAUGCUGUUACGACCUCAUCAGCGCUUCUUCCUCUUUGGAUCGCUUGUACACAGGAUGCCCUGGUGGAAAAACCUUCAGUGGCUUCAAUCGAGGACUGGACAGUUUGAUGAUUCGAUUAGGUUUACAUGGGAUUACAGGCUUCACUUCAGUGGAGUGAACCAAGGCAUUAUAAGACUCGUGCAUCCUCCCCAGAAUGCUUGUAAAGGAUCCGUUACGAACGCAAAGACCCGAGCGCGAAACUGCUCGCUCUGCUCGCGCUCACGCCGUCGAACGUGCAACUCAUGCUCUGCG